RNAcentral lists this ribosomal RNA (179 nucleotides) under Patescibacteria group bacterium. RNAcentral's name for it is "partial 16S ribosomal RNA". It matches the Rfam family "Bacterial small subunit ribosomal RNA", at positions 188 to 367 of the family's 1533-position model. The record is from RNAcentral.
GAGCGAAGGCGGAGUAAAGGCGCAAGUCGCUUUGGGAUGGGCCUAGGUCUGAUCAGCUAGUUGGUAGGGUAAUGGCCUACCAAGGCGAUGACGCUUAGGGGACCUGAGAGGGUGACCCCCAACGAUGGGACUGAGACACGGCCCAUACACCUACGGGUGGCUGCAGUCAAGAACCUUCC